UUGGAGGGCAAGUCUGGUGCCAGCAGCCGCGGUAAUUCCAGCUCCAAUAGCGUAUAUUAAAGUUGUUGCAGUUAAAAAGCUCGUAGUUGAAUUUCGGGGUCAAUAAGUUGGUCGUGCCAAUGGUAUGUACUGGCUUUAUUGAUUCCUACCUCUUGACGAACUGUGAUGCCAUUAAUUUGGUGUUGCAGGAAAUCAGGACUGUUACCUUGAAAAAAUUAGAGUGUUUAAAGCAGGCUUACGCUUGAAUACAUUAGCAUGGAAUAAUGAAAUAGGACGUUUGAACCUAUUUUGUUGGUUUCUAGGAUCGACGUAAUGAUUUAUAGGGAUAGUUGGGGGCAUUAGUAUUCAAUUGUCAGAGGUGAAAUUCUUGGAUUUAUUGAAGACUAACUACUGCGAAAGCAUUUGCCAAGGAUGUUUUCAUUAAUCAAGAACGAAAGUUAGGGGAUCGAAGACGAUCAGAUACCGUCGUAGUCUUAACCAUAAACUAUGCCGACUAGGGAUCGGAUGAUGUUAAUUUUUUAAUGACUCAUUCGGCGCCUUACGGGAAACCAAAGUGUUUGGGUUC
RNAcentral lists this ribosomal RNA (565 nucleotides) under uncultured Glomeromycotina. RNAcentral's name for it is "SSU rRNA". It matches the Rfam family "Eukaryotic small subunit ribosomal RNA", at positions 548 to 1114 of the family's 1831-position model. Lineage: Eukaryota; Fungi; Glomeromycota. The record is from RNAcentral.